This 355-nucleotide small RNA is filed under the name Listeria monocytogenes. RNAcentral describes it as "rliB". The stretch from base 62 to 355 matches the Rfam family "Listeria sRNA rliB", at positions 1 to 298 of the family's 360-position model. The record is from RNAcentral. Lineage: Bacteria; Bacillati; Bacillota; Bacilli; Caryophanales; Listeriaceae.
AUGAUUUUUACGUAAUUUUUAAGAGGUCGACAAAAGUAGUGACCUGAGUUAUGAUGGGAGUAGGCGUAAAAUAGAGCGGGUUUUAACUACUUAUUAUGAAAUGUAAAUUUCAUUACAAUACGGAUAAUAUUCAUGUUCAUAUUGGUUUUAACUACUUAUUAUGAAAUGUAAAUUCGCUUGUGUAUAAACACAAGUCUACCGCAACACCGUUUUAACUACUUAUUAUGAAAUGUAAAUUAACUUAAAUAAGCAUAAGGAAAUGCCGCGCAUGGUUUUAACUACUUAUUAUGAAAUGUAAAUGAAGGAUAAAAUAUUUUAAGAGUAGGUGAACUCCUGUUUUAACUACUUAUUAUGA